Erythranthe guttata (spotted monkey flower) is the source of this 2502-nucleotide non-coding RNA. Lineage: Eukaryota; Viridiplantae; Streptophyta; Magnoliopsida; Lamiales; Phrymaceae. The record is from RefSeq and is a predicted model, not a curated record.
CCACUUCGCCAUACUCAUUUCUCUCCGUUUAAGACUUUCUUAGGUUACUAUUCAGCUCCAAUGGAGGUUUCCUUUGUGCUGGGAAACGGAUUCCAACCCGUAUCUUGUUUAUCCACAACCCGACCCGCCAAAAUUUCCAAACACAUCCCCGCAACCACAUUGGCAACGCCGCCGCCGCCGCCGCCGCAAAGAGUCGCGACUCGUGCACCUCCGAACGGCACAGAAAAGCACAGUGGAGCACCGAGAAACCCGACGAAUGUCACCAGAAACAUUCCGAAUAAUCUAUCCGCCUCACGUAAAGCCAGAGAAUCGGCAAUUACGGAUAUUCAGGAUUCCACCGAACUGGCAUCUGCUCUUUCGAGAUCAGGAGAAGUUUUGAAGGCACAAGAUCUGAAUAUCGUGUUGCGUCAUUUCGGGAAGCUAUACCGAUGGAAGGAUCUUUCUCAGCUUUUUAAUUGGAUGCGGCAGCAUGGGAAGACUAAUAUUGCUUCCUACAGCAGUUAUAUAAAGUUUGUUGGGAGGGAUUCUAAUGCUACAAAGGCCGUAGAGAUAUACAACAGCAUCAAAGACGACUCCACAAAGACCAACGUCUCUGUUUGUAAUUCCACUUUAUAUUGUCUAAUCAAGAGUGGCAAGUUUGAAAGCGGCCUUAAGCUAUUUAAUCAAAUGAAGCAGGCUGGUUUAGAACCUGAUAUUGUGACUUAUAGUACGCUACUUUCUGGGUGCACCAAAGUUAAGGGUGGUUACAUCAAGGCAAUGGAAUUGGUUCAGGAAAUUAAGUGUAGGAAGUUGCAAAUGGAUACUGUAAUAUACGGAACACUUAUAUCAGUUUGUGCUUCAAACAAUCAACGUGAAGAAGCAGAAAAAUACUUCAAUGAGAUGAAGAGUGAAGGUCAUUCUCCCAAUGUGUUUCACUACAGCUCUUUGCUUAAUGCGUAUGCAAUUGAUGGGAGCUACAAAAAGGCCGAUGCAUUGAUCGAAGAAAUGAGAUCUGCUGGUAUAGAAUUAAAUAAGAUUAUUCUAACAACUCAGCUGAAAGUAUAUGUAAAAGGCGGCUUGUUUGAUAAAUCAAGAGAACUACUGGAUCAACUGCAAGCUCUAGGCUAUGCUGAAGAUGAGAUGCCGUACUGUUUACUGAUGGAUGGCCUUGCUAAAUCUGGGAAAGUUCCAGAAGCCAAAUCACUUUUCGACGAAAUGAGGCAAAAAGAAGUGAAAAAUGACGGUUUCUCCUACAGUAUUAUGAUUUCAGCCCUCUGCCGCAGCGGGCUCAUCGAAGAAGCAAAGAUGUUGGCUUGUGAAUUUGAGACCAAGUACGACAAGUACGAUGUGGUUAUCUUGAACUCGAUGCUCUGUGCAUAUUGUAGAUCAGGAGAAAUGGAGAAUGUGAUGAAGACGAUGAAGAAAAUGGAUGAGUCAUCGAUUAGUCCUGAUUGGAACACCUUUCACAUUUUAAUAAAGUAUUUCUGCAAGGAGAAGUUGUAUUUGCUCGCCUAUCGUACGAUGGUGGACAUGCACAAGAAAGGUCAUCAGCUUGAGGAGGAUCUCUGUGUUUUUUUGAUCCAUCAUCUCGGUAAAACCGGUGCCCAUGCAGAAGCAUUUUCAGUGUACAGUAUGUUGAAGUAUAGCAAGAGAACAAUAAACAAGACCCUUCACGAGAAGAUUUUACAUACUUUACUCGCGGGUGGGCUUUUUAAAGACGCAUAUGUUCUGGUCAAGGACAAUGCAAAAUAUAUAUCUGAGUCUGCUAUUAGGAAGUUUACAACUACCUUUAUGAGAAAAGGCAAUAUAAACUUGAUAAAUGAUGUGAUCAAGUCUAUCCACAGCUCUAGUUACAAGAUUGAUCAGGACAUAUUUCACAUGGCGAUUUCUCGUUACAUUGAGCAACCCGAAAAGAAGGAACUGCUUCUUCAUUUGCUACAAUGGAUGCGUGGUCAAGGCUAUCCUGUUGACUCAUCGACGAGGAAUUUGAUUCUUGAGAAUGCCGAGUUGUUUGGACGCAAUUCUAUUACAGAAAUAUUGUCUAAGCAUUAUGCUGCGUCGAAGAGAUUUUGAGAGUUUGGAGUUUCAGAUAUAUUCACAGUUUAAUUCAGCCUACAAGUGAUAAAAAUUCCUCUCGAAACGAAUCCUCAAUGAAUUUGCUUGUGGUUGGGAAUGUGGCCUUAUGAAAGUCUACCUUGUGCGCACAAGAGCCUUGGUCUCUGGUUUAAUUUAUUUUCACGCUGAUUCUGCGCAAGUUUUAGGUACUGUAACAUCUACGAUAAAAAGUCGUCGCCAAGUUGAAUGCUAGAGAUGAACAGUUAUCAGAUCAAUAAUUUUGCAUGGGAGAACAGGGUUUUCCCGACCUAUAAACAUAUGCUGAAGAUACAAUGCAAUAUUGGUAUUUAAGAACAAACUAUAUGUCACUUCUCUUCAUUUUAUAGGUUCUUGUAAAAUAUAGAAAUAUGUAAAAAAAAAUCUAUUUGUAUAUAUUUGAUUCAGCUAUUACGAAGUGUUUCAGUUUCA